AGUGAACGCUGGCGGUAGGCCUAACACAUGCAAGUCGAACGGCAGCACAGGAGAGCUUGCUCUCUGGGUGGCGAGUGGCGGACGGGUGAGGAAUACAUCGGAAUCUACUUUUUCGUGGGGGAUAACGUAGGGAAACUUACGCUAAUACCGCAUACGACCUACGGGUGAAAGCAGGGGACCUUCGGGCCUUGCGCGAUUGAAUGAGCCGAUGUCGGAUUAGCUAGUUGGCGGGGUAAAGGCCCACCAAGGCGACGAUCCGUAGCUGGUCUGAGAGGAUGAUCAGCCACACUGGAACUGAGACACGGUCCAGACUCCUACGGGAGGCAGCAGUGGGGAAUAUUGGACAAUGGGCGCAAGCCUGAUCCAGCCAUACCGCGUGGGUGAAGAAGGCCUUCGGGUUGUAAAGCCCUUUUGUUGGGAAAGAAAUCCAGCUGGCUAAUACCCGGUUGGGAUGACGGUACCCAAAGAAUAAGCACCGGCUAACUUCGUGCCAGCCGCCGCAGUAA
RNAcentral lists this ribosomal RNA (506 nucleotides) under uncultured bacterium. RNAcentral's name for it is "partial 16S ribosomal RNA". It matches the Rfam family "Bacterial small subunit ribosomal RNA", at positions 29 to 523 of the family's 1533-position model. The record is from RNAcentral.